Hemicordylus capensis (graceful crag lizard) is the source of this 1926-nucleotide long non-coding RNA. RefSeq lists it as uncharacterized. The transcript has 4 exons. The record is from RefSeq and is a predicted model, not a curated record. NCBI's taxonomy places the organism in Eukaryota, Metazoa, Chordata, Lepidosauria, Squamata, Cordylidae.
UGGACACAUGGUGCAAAAUCCAACUUGCAAAAUUCAACAUCUCUAAAUGGAGAAGAAUUUGGGGGACUGGAAAGCUACACUUCUCUUUGAGGUCCAGCUUUUUCAGAUUCCCAGAAUUAUUCUCUGAGCUUGGUAAAUUUUACUGUCGUCUCUCUCAGCCAGUUCAUAGCUGAGUAGAUGAUUUGAAGCAGGAACUUCCUGGCUCAUAACUUAUAUUAUUUCUUACACUAUGAGGUGGUUCCCAUGAUCAGUGGGAAUUGCCAAGAAGGGGUUUGUGAGGAGAGUGGGCUUAGUCCGCUCUCCUUGCAGAUGACCCAUCAGUCAGCUGCGGGGGGCCAAACUGGCUGCCCACAUGACUGCCGGCUCCAUUACGGAGCCGGUAGGGGCUGGGGAGUUCGCAAGUGCACAGGGCAUACUGGAGAGACCCCUGAGCCGGGAGGUUGCAUUUAGCCUCCCCGCCGGGGGUCUCCUCAUGAGUUGCUGCAGCACGGAGCCAUACUGCAGCAACUCACAAUUUAAAAAAAUGGGUUAGCAGAGCACUCGCUCCACUGACCUUGGCUAAGGAGAGGUGGAAAUAGUGGGAUUUGCUGCCGGGAGCCACGCAGCUCCUGUGGCAGCAGACAAUCAACAAAAAGCGGGCUGGGCUCCCUUAGCCCACUUUUUGUUGAUCGUAAGAAUCGCCUCUAUAUCUACUUUAUUCUAUGUAGACUGAAGGAAAAAAAUUAAAUUGAAAGUUUCUCAAAACACUUGAAUCAAGAAUUAUCUAGAAAGCAAAAACAACAACAUAUUAAGGCAGUUCACAUGAUCAUUAAAUAUAUACUAACAGGCAGUAUGCUAACAGGCAUGGAUAUAUAGUAACAGGCAGUAUAUCCAGGGAUUCUUGGUCAUUAGAACUCAUGGGAAUCGUUCAAGCCCAGAUUUCUGAUAGUAGGGCAACCCAGAUCUUAAGCCAUGCUCUUAACCCACAUUGGGGGGAAAUAGGAGCCCCACUCAGAUUGCUGAUCAUAUGUUGGACCUUCCCUGUUCCAGAAGCUCCUGUCAGCCAGCUGCUAUAAUUGCAAUAGAGAGCUGUGGCUACAGUGGCUGCCAUAUGUGUUCACAUCAUUCUGCACUACACACUCAGUGCUCCUCCUUGGAAUAGCUUCAAUAGGGCUGGGCCUACCUCCUGUCCCCUCAUGACCAAUCAAAGGGUGGCUGCUGACAUCAUGAAUUUUUCCCUUCUCCUGUCAGCAUGGUGCAUUGUGGGAAAGUUCUCUUGAUUCUCAGCAGACUUCCCUGCUCCAUACUCAACACUGUGGUGCUUGUGUGUGCUGAGCUUGCAGAGUCCAAUGGGGGCUCCGCUCAUCUUUCUAAUGUGAAGACUUGGAUGAAAAAGAGACACAUCUGAGAAAAUGCCCAAAGGCAUGUCAAAGAAUAGAUACUAUUAAAAGGGAAUGCAUUCCAUAGCCCAGAAGUGACUACAGAGAAGGCCCGUUCCCUAGUCACUGCCAGAUGAGCUGGUGGCAUCUGGAGAGAGACCUCUCUUAGUGACCUUAAUAUGCGAUGAGGAUCAUGCAGAAGAAAGCGCUCUCCCAGGCAACCCAGUCCUAUGACAUUUAGGGCUUUAAAGAUGUUACUGGAGCAGUGUGGGAUGCAGCCAGAAGUUCCCAGGUCUGUCCAAUAAUGGAUGAAUCAGACUGCAGGAUGGCUUUCAAAUGUGUUUAGCUUGGUUUGGGUAUGUGUGUGAGACACUUUGACAGACCUGGUUUUGUGGACAUCCAGGUGAUGUCCUCAAUAGAGAAGCAAGUGAGUACACUUAGGGUUUGGGCAGGAUGUGGCUGAGCUAGACAUGACUUCAUCCUUUCUGGUGAGACAGUAUAGGUCUGGCUGAUCAGCUAAACUGGAUUCGAGUCUGAUCACAAAUAAAACUAUUGAUCUACUGGGAAA